Non-coding RNA from Camellia sinensis, 936 nucleotides. NCBI's taxonomy places the organism in Eukaryota, Viridiplantae, Streptophyta, Magnoliopsida, Ericales, Theaceae. The record is from RefSeq and is a predicted model, not a curated record.
AAACCCUAUUCUCUUUGUAGCAUUUUUCUUCGCUCACCAUACACAUGUGCUCACCAUACACAUGUGCACACAUGUAUAGAUUGUUCUGGAAAUGUGUUGGUUGUGAUUUGUGUUGAUUUUAUGGGUUUAGUUCCUAAAAUGUUGAUUCCGUUGUUGGUUAUUCUUUUGUGUAUUCGUCAAUUUCUUUUGAUUGAAAUGCUGUAUUUGUGAGAUGGGUUCAAUUGAUUUCAUCCCCUGGCUUCUGGGUUUCUUUUACUCUACAGCAGUUAGAAGGGGAAAAUUAGUACGAGGCUGUGGAUUCUGAUUACUGGGUCUUUUAUUUAUUUAUUAUUAAUUUUAUGUUUGAUUUCCUUGUAUUAUUUUUUAUCACAGAGUUGAAAAUUUGUCUAAACAUAGAUUGUGAUCCUAUUCCUCUUAAUUCAUAAGUCUCUCUCUCUCUCUCUCUCUCUCUCUCUCUCUCUCAAUUACUAUGCAAAUGCCUUUGACCUGCAUUAGAUGUUUGUGGAGGUACCCAUCAGAACUAUUCCUUCUUCUAAUCUUUUAUACUGACCAGAUGUAAUGCCCCACUAUUUCUUGUAACCCCUUGUAAACUAUGUUGGAUGUUACUAUAAUGCAGCAAUACUAUAGUUUAUGUCAUGGAUUUAGCGCAUUCCUUAAAUUUCUUCCGCAUUCAUUUUUUAUUAAACUUCAAUUUUUUGUUCCCUUGGAAAUUAAAUUAUAACUGACGUUUAGAUUUAACACUUUAACUACUUCCAAAAUGGAAGCAGCGAAAUGUGGGACUGGCAUGGAGAGGGUUAUUGUCUCCAGAAGGAAACCAAUCUGGACAUAUCUCCAUGCCUUUGGGAUGGAGUAAGCCAGAAUGAAGAAGAUCUGUCCUACAUGUUUGACGAAACAACACCUGUUAAGGCCUGUGGGGAUUUGGCUUACCAUGUUGCU